AUUUAUUUAAUAUAAACACUAUUUUAAAUUGAUUUUUUUUCUCAUUCCCAGAAGGCAGAAAAACUGAAAAAUACAGACUAUAUAUUUUAAUAAAGUUCAGGAUACAGGAAUCCAAUUUGAUCUUGAACUUCAGGAUGAAGAUUCACUGGUUUAAUGGGGAAGAAACAUCUAUCAGAGGGUCAUCUGUGCUGGACUUCCUCCUUGGAAAAUGAGAAGAGCAGGAAUUACCCCUGUGGAGCCUUC
RNAcentral lists this long non-coding RNA (243 nucleotides) under Anser brachyrhynchus (Pink-footed goose). RNAcentral describes it as "lncRNA (ENSABRG00000014682.1)". The record is from RNAcentral. Lineage: Eukaryota; Metazoa; Chordata; Aves; Anseriformes; Anatidae.